RNAcentral lists this ribosomal RNA (253 nucleotides) under uncultured bacterium. Its description in RNAcentral is "partial 16S ribosomal RNA". It matches the Rfam family "Bacterial small subunit ribosomal RNA", at positions 524 to 776 of the family's 1533-position model. The record is from RNAcentral.
GACAGAGGGUGCGAACGUUGUUCGGAAUUACUGGGCGUAAAGCGCGUGUAGGCGGCAGCGCAAGUCGGGCGUGAAAUCCCACGGCUCAACCGUGGAAGUGCACUCGAAACUGCGCUGCUAGAGUCCUGGAGAGGAAGGUGGAAUGCUUGGUGUAGAGGUGAAAUUCGUAGAUAUCAAGCGGAACACCGGUGGCGAAGGCGGCCUUCUGGACAGUGACUGACGCUGAGACGCGAAAGCGUGGGGAGCAAACAGG